GGUGGUAUCAGCAGUGCGGUGGUGGAUAGACCCAAUAGGGAUUGCUGUGUUCUGUGCUCUAAUGAAGUUCCAAAGCUUUAUCAACAUAAGCAGAAUGAAGCCUACUACUGCAAGGUGCAUCUACCACAGUGGAAGAACCAGGUAUGUUAUGUCUGCAAGGAACCCCUUCCCCCAACAGGUAGCGUGUCCAUCUACCAGUGCAGGUGGUGUAGAAGAAGUGUUGGUAGAAGGUGUAUUCAGAUCAAGAUGAAUUGAUGACCAUUUGUGUUAAGUCAGGAUCGAUAACAUUUCCUCCACAAGUGCUUAUCACAUGUCAAUGUUGGCAAGAGGUCUUUGUAAAAGAAAAAUAAUGUGAAGUCAUAUAAAUAGGGUUGUUUUUCAAUACCAGCUGGUGGUGUACUGUAGUAGGUCAGUGAUAUACGAAAUGAAAA
Anneissia japonica is the source of this 431-nucleotide long non-coding RNA. RefSeq lists it as uncharacterized. Lineage: Eukaryota; Metazoa; Echinodermata; Crinoidea; Comatulida; Comatulidae. The record is from RefSeq and is a predicted model, not a curated record. The transcript is spliced from 2 exons.